Molecule: ribosomal RNA, 1504 nt
Filed under: Shigella sonnei
Lineage: Bacteria; Pseudomonadati; Pseudomonadota; Gammaproteobacteria; Enterobacterales; Enterobacteriaceae
Description: partial 23S ribosomal RNA
Rfam family: Bacterial large subunit ribosomal RNA
Source: RNAcentral
GGAGCGUUCUGUAAGCCUGCGAAGGUGUGCUGUGAGGCAUGCUGGAGGUAUCAGAAGUGCGAAUGCUGACAUAAGUAACGAUAAAGCGGGUGAAAAGCCCGCUCGCCGGAAGACCAAGGGUUCCUGUCCAACGUUAAUCGGGGCAGGGUGAGUCGACCCCUAAGGCGAGGCCGAAAGGCGUAGUCGAUGGGAAACAGGUUAAUAUUCCUGUACUUGGUGUUACUGCGAAGGGGGGACGGAGAAGGCUAUGUUGGCCGGGCGACGGUUGUCCCGGUUUAAGCGUGUAGGCUGGUUUUCCAGGCAAAUCCGGAAAAUCAAGGCUGAGGCGUGAUGACGAGGCACUACGGUGCUGAAGCAACAAAUGCCCUGCUUCCAGGAAAAGCCUCUAAGCAUCAGGUAACAUCAAAUCGUACCCCAAACCGACACAGGUGGUCAGGUAGAGAAUACCAAGGCGCUUGAGAGAACUCGGGUGAAGGAACUAGGCAAAAUGGUGCCGUAACUUCGGGAGAAGGCACGCUGAUAUGUAGGUGAAGUCCCUUGCGGAUGGAGCUGAAAUCAGUCGAAGAUACCAGCUGGCUGCAACUGUUUAUUAAAAACACAGCACUGUGCAAACACGAAAGUGGACGUAUACGGUGUGACGCCUGCCCGGUGCCGGAAGGUUAAUUGAUGGGGUCAGCGCAAGCGAAGCUCUUGAUCGAAGCCCCGGUAAACGGCGGCCGUAACUAUAACGGUCCUAAGGUAGCGAAAUUCCUUGUCGGGUAAGUUCCGACCUGCACGAAUGGCGUAAUGAUGGCCAGGCUGUCUCCACCCGAGACUCAGUGAAAUUGAACUCGCUGUGAAGAUGCAGUGUACCCGCGGCAAGACGGAAAGACCCCGUGAACCUUUACUAUAGCUUGACACUGAACAUUGAGCCUUGAUGUGUAGGAUAGGUGGGAGGCUUUGAAGUGUGGACGCCAGUCUGCAUGGAGCCGGCCUUGAAAUACCACCCUUUAAUGUUUGAUGUUCUAACGUGGACCCGUGAUCCGGGUUGCGGACAGUGUCUGGUGGGUAGUUUGACUGGGGCGGUCUCCUCCUAAAGAGUAACGGAGGAGCACGAAGGUUGGCUAAUCCUGGUCGGACAUCAGGAGGUUAGUGCAAUGGCAUAAGCCAGCUUGACUGCGAGCGUGACGGCGCGAGCAGGUGCGAAAGCAGGUCAUAGUGAUCCGGUGGUUCUGAAUGGAAGGGCCAUCGCUCAACGGAUAAAAGGUACUCCGGGGAUAACAGGCUGAUACCGCCCAAGAGUUCAUAUCGACGGCGGUGUUUGGCACCUCGAUGUCGGCUCAUCACAUCCUGGGGCUGAAGUAGGUCCCAAGGGUAUGGCUGUUCGCCAUUUAAAGUGGUACGCGAGCUGGGUUUAGAACGUCGUGAGACAGUUCGGUCCCUAUCUGCCGUGGGCGCUGGAGAACUGAGGGGGGCUGCUCCUAGUACGAGAGGACCGGAGUGGACGCAUCACUGGUGUUCGGGU